This 1031-nucleotide ribosomal RNA is filed under the name Enterococcus faecium. RNAcentral's name for it is "bacterial SSU rRNA". It matches the Rfam family "Bacterial small subunit ribosomal RNA", at positions 207 to 1226 of the family's 1533-position model. Lineage: Bacteria; Bacillati; Bacillota; Bacilli; Lactobacillales; Enterococcaceae. The record is from RNAcentral.
GCGCUUUCGGGUGUCGCUGAUGGAUGGACCCGCGGUGCAUUAGCUAGUUGGUGAGGUAACGGCUCACCAAGGCCACGAUGCAUAGCCGACCUGAGAGGGUGAUCGGCCACAUUGGGACUGAGACACGGCCCAAACUCCUACGGGAGGCAGCAGUAGGGAAUCUUCGGCAAUGGACGAAAGUCUGACCGAGCAACGCCGCGUGAGUGAAGAAGGUUUUCGGAUCGUAAAACUCUGUUGUUAGAGAAGAACAAGGAUGAGAGUAACUGUUCAUCCCUUGACGGUAUCUAACCAGAAAGCCACGGCUAACUACGUGCCAGCAGCCGCGGUAAUACGUAGGUGGCAAGCGUUGUCCGGAUUUAUUGGGCGUAAAGCGAGCGCAGGCGGUUUCUUAAGUCUGAUGUGAAAGCCCCCGGCUCAACCGGGGAGGGUCAUUGGAAACUGGGAGACUUGAGUGCAGAAGAGGAGAGUGGAAUUCCAUGUGUAGCGGUGAAAUGCGUAGAUAUAUGGAGGAACACCAGUGGCGAAGGCGGCUCUCUGGUCUGUAACUGACGCUGAGGCUCGAAAGCGUGGGGAGCAAACAGGAUUAGAUACCCUGGUAGUCCACGCCGUAAACGAUGAGUGCUAAGUGUUGGAGGGUUUCCGCCCUUCAGUGCUGCAGCUAACGCAUUAAGCACUCCGCCUGGGGAGUACGACCGCAAGGUUGAAACUCAAAGGAAUUGACGGGGGCCCGCACAAGCGGUGGAGCAUGUGGUUUAAUUCGAAGCAACGCGAAGAACCUUACCAGGUCUUGACAUCCUUUGACCACUCUAGAGAUAGAGCUUCCCCUUCGGGGGCAAAGUGACAGGUGGUGCAUGGUUGUCGUCAGCUCGUGUCGUGAGAUGUUGGGUUAAGUCCCGCAACGAGCGCAACCCUUAUUGUUAGUUGCCAUCAUUCAGUUGGGCACUCUAGCAAGACUGCCGGUGACAAACCGGAGGAAGGUGGGGAUGACGUCAAAUCAUCAUGCCCCUUAUGACCUGGGCUACACACGUGCU